AGAACGAACGCUGGCGGCAUGCCUAACACAUGCAAGUCGAACGCUCAUCCGGCUUCGGCCGGAUGGGAGUGGCGCACGGGUGAGUAGCGCGUGGGAACCUGCCCUGUUGUGGGGGAUAACCGAGGGAAACUUCGGCUAAUACCGCAUGCGCCCCGGCGAAAGCCGGGGGAAAGAUUUAUCGCAGCAGGAGGGGCCCGCGUCGGAUUAGGUAGUUGGUGGGGUAACGGCCCACCAAGCCGAUGAUCCGUAGCUGGUCUGAGAGGAUGAUCAGCCACACUGGGACUGAGACACGGCCCAGACUCCUACGGGAGGCAGCAGUGGGGAAUAUUGGACAAUGGGGGCAACCCUGAUCCAGCAAUGCCGCGUGAGUGAUGAAGGCCUUAGGGUUGUAAAGCUCUUUCGCCCGCGACGAUGAUGACGGUAGCGGGAGAAGAAGCCCCGGCUAACUUCGUGCCAGCAGCCGC
RNAcentral lists this ribosomal RNA (464 nucleotides) under uncultured bacterium. Its description in RNAcentral is "SSU rRNA". It matches the Rfam family "Bacterial small subunit ribosomal RNA", at positions 26 to 518 of the family's 1533-position model. The record is from RNAcentral.